Molecule: ribosomal RNA, 428 nt
Filed under: uncultured archaeon
Lineage: Archaea
Description: bacterial SSU rRNA
Rfam family: Archaeal small subunit ribosomal RNA
Source: RNAcentral
UACCAGCUCUCCGAGUGGUGUGGAUGUUUAUUGGGCCUAAAGCAUCCGUAGCUGGCUGGACAAGUCCCCUGUUAAAUCCACCGAUUUAAUCGUUGGUGUGCGGGGGAUACUGUUCGGCUAGGGGACGGGAGAGGCCGACGGUAUUUCCGGGGUAGGGGUGAAAUCCUAUAAUCCCGGGAAGACCACCAGUGGCGAAGGCUGUCGGCUAGAACGCGCCCGACGGUGAGGGAUGAAAGCUGGGGGAGCGAACCGGAUUAGAUACCCGGGUAGUCCCAGCUGUAAACGAUGCAGGCUAGGUGUUUGGGCGGCCACGUGCCGCUCUAGUGCCGCAAGGAAGCUGUUAAGCCUGCCGCCUGGGGAGUACGGCCGCAAGGCUGAAACUUAAAGGAAUUGGCGGGGAGCACAGCAACGGGUGGAGCGUGCGGUUU